This 506-nucleotide ribosomal RNA is filed under the name uncultured bacterium. RNAcentral's name for it is "partial 16S ribosomal RNA". It matches the Rfam family "Bacterial small subunit ribosomal RNA", at positions 28 to 523 of the family's 1533-position model. The record is from RNAcentral.
GAUGAACGCUAGCUACAGGCUUAACACAUGCAAGUCGAGGGGUAACGAGAGGAAAGCUUGCUUUCCUUGUCGACGACCGGCGCACGGGUGAGUAACGCGUAUCCAACCUGCCCCCAACUAGGGAAUAACCUUGCGAAAGUAAGACUAAUACCCUAUAAUUUCCUCAGAUGUCAUCUGACGAGGAAUAAAGAUUUAUCGGUUGUGGAUGGGGAUGCGUCUGAUUAGCUUGUUGGCGGGGUAACGGCCCACCAAGGCAACAAUCAGUAGGGGUUCUGAGAGGGAGGUCCCCCACAUUGGAACUGAGACACGGUCCAAACUCCUACGGGAGGCAGCAGUGAGGAAUAUUGGUCAAUGGGCGGAAGCCUGAACCAGCCAAGUAGCGUGCAGGAUGACGGCCCUAUGGGUUGUAAACUGCUUUUAUACAGGAAUAAAGUUAGCCACGUGUGGUUAUUUGUAGGUACUGUAUGAAUAAGGACCGGCUAAUUCCGUGCCAGCAGCCGCCGUAA